AUAUUUGGCAAUAUGCAAGUACAGUUGAGCACCGUUGUCUUGAUAUUCAUGGGACCAAG
This 59-nucleotide long non-coding RNA is filed under the name Haliotis rubra (blacklip abalone). Its description in RNAcentral is "uncharacterized LOC124285417". The record is from RNAcentral. Lineage: Eukaryota; Metazoa; Mollusca; Gastropoda; Lepetellida; Haliotidae.